RNAcentral lists this microRNA precursor (61 nucleotides) under Octopus bimaculoides (California two-spot octopus). RNAcentral's name for it is "Obi-Mir-12498_pre stem-loop". Lineage: Eukaryota; Metazoa; Mollusca; Cephalopoda; Octopoda; Octopodidae. The record is from RNAcentral.
UGCCCUUCACAGGUAUCUCCUGGAUAUGAACUGAAACCUGGGGAUGCUGUGAAUGGUUCUU